This is an RNA transcript of Lethenteron reissneri (Far Eastern brook lamprey), 8828 nucleotides long. RefSeq lists it as uncharacterized. Lineage: Eukaryota; Metazoa; Chordata; Hyperoartia; Petromyzontiformes; Petromyzontidae. The record is from RefSeq and is a predicted model, not a curated record.
CCAUAAACGCCCUCCAAUUUAUUCGCCAGACAAACUCGGGGCCGUAAAGGAAUAAAUCGGCGCAGUUAAAAGGAAAAUCACAGAGAACCAACCGCAGGGGGAAAUAGAGAGAGAGAGACGCAGCGUGCCCCCCACCCCCCAUACAGUCGCUUAUGAUGGUGGUGGUGAUAGUGGGGGGGGGGGGUUCCUUUGCCUAAACAAACUCGGCAGCUUGUAAAUGUAUCCGUGUGCCCGUGUGAGUACAGCCGAGAUGAGAGCACGGGCGUAAAGGAUGCACCCACGGACGCACGCGCGCGCGCGUUGAACGAGAGAGAGAGAAAGUGGCGGGGUGGGUGUGGGUGGUGAACGCGCGUUCUGAGUGAGAUGCGAGCGGCUUGCCCACCACGAGGGCCCCGCGUGUCUCCAUCCUCCUCCUCCUCCCUGAGCGCCCGAUCGUGUGUGGGAGUCACUGUUUGAGGGCGGUGGGGUGCCGUGUACUCUUGAUUGCACGACGCUUUCGGACAGUGAGACGCACCUGCAAGCCUCUCUCCCCGGUGUCUGUUAAAGUGCUCGCAGGUCUGGUCACGCGCAUGCGGCUGCUACCGGAUUAUAAGAUGCACCUCCCGUGCCCCCCCCCCCCCCCCGCUCCGCAACUAUUGCUUUAAAAUAAAGUGCGUCUUAAAAUCCGGUGAAUGCGGCGAUGAUGAUAAUGACGAAGAGCCAUUUUUAUUAAUCUACUGCUUGAUGAAUCGUCCCGCCCGUCCCCGCCACACACGCGAAGGGUUGUUUGACCAUACUUCACCACGCUGGUCCGUGCGGGGUUUGGUCAGUGAAGUUUUCUGAGCACUCUUUUGGACACCGCUGAUGUAAUUGGAUACCGUGGCCGGGAAUUGAACUCAGGUGGGACGGGUAUGGAGCGUAAGCUCGUGGGAUCCUGCGUCAACGCUCUCCCGAAAUUUCAAAUAUUUACACGCAGUCUGUAAAUGCAAAUACAUGUAUAUACACACGUACAAAAAAUACAAAGACCCCCCGAGUAGCCUUAACAGACUGUUGGGGCAAGUGCUGUUAGCACCUAUGAAAGACGGAAAAGCACACGACAGGGUGGGUGGCCAGCACCACGCCCGACCGCCUUUGUAGCAAUGUAUACACACCACACCAGGUACUCAUUUGAGGCUGAGUCGUCCUAGAGGAGGCCCCUGACCGGUUCAGAUAAUCGUCACUGGGUGUUGGCCGUGAGCGGGAAUGGAACCCGGGUCGCCGGGUUCGUAGCGCAGAGCGCUACCUGGUACACUACCUCUCACUACGAAAACAUACACUGUAUAUACACACACACGCACGCGCGCGCGCAUAUAUAUACUUACAAUAAUACAUACAAGCAGAUGCGCGUACACAUCCAAGAUAGACAAAGAUCCCCCGUGUAGCCUGAAUAGGCUGUUGGGACAAGGGUUGUCAGCGAGCACCUAUAAAGGUCGACAUGGAGCACAAGCGGGAUAGGUGUGACCAUAAUCACGACCCGGCCGCCUUUGUCCCCCAAGUGCCGAUGUUUACGCACACCCCCACCAGCUACUAAUUUAAGGUCGAGUCGACCUAAGGGAGGCCCAGGGCCGCUUUAGAUAUUCGCCGCUGAUGUUGGCCGUUAGCGGGGAUCGAACUCGUGGUGUCGGAUUCGUCGCAAGAUAUAUUCACACAGACACGAAUGUGCAUCAAUGUACAGUAUAUAUACACUUACAAAUAUAAAUACAUACACACACGUUUGCGUAAGCCCGUUAAACAUAAACUCACACACACACGUGCGCACGGAGUUAAUGUUGUGUUCCAUGUGCACACUGAUCAGAAUGGUGAAGUAUGGUCUAGCAACCUCCAUGACCAACUCGGCGUGAGAAGGCCGUCAUCCAGCAGUGGAGUUGAAAGUUACGUAAUCUGAUUCGAUGUGUUUGUCUAUGCCACUGAUAACCUCGUGUCUGCCCAGUCACCAUUCGCUGCGUUUUUACGGCAUUGCGAAUGAAAUCGUCACAUAAAAACAAAUUGCGUGUAAUAAGUUAAUGUUUUUUAUAUAUAUAGAUGAAAAUGCAAAGCUUCAUUCAAAAGCUGGGUUUUGCCCCCACCCGGCACACCACAUCCAGUAUACACAUCGCCUGAGUCACAUGCCACCAACUCCACUCUACUGGGGACUCGCAAAUGAUUGAACGGAAAUAAAUCCCGUAAAACAAAAACAAACACACGUACGAAAACGCAAUCUUACAAUACAUCGCACGGUGUAGAAUAAUAAUAAUAACGAUCACGCUUUCAUUAAAUAAUCAAUCUACUGCUGGAUGAACGCCUGUCCACGCGGUUUGGAGGCUGAAGCGAUAUAUUUCAACCAAGCACGGGGUUCGGAUAGCACUGUCAGGGAAUCUAGCUCAUGCACAGCGCAAUGCGCUAACCGCAGCGCCACCGCUCCCUCCCGAUUAAACAAUAACAGCAGCAGCAGCAUUAAAACAUUACACGCGUGGCAAGUGUACUGAACCGUGCAUGGUCGGGAGAAGUUAAUGCACAGGUAUAUAUACUCCCUGCGGCGAUGGCGUUUAGCCGCUAAUGAAUGUUAUUGGUGUGUGCGCCUGCUGUGGUGGUGGUGGUUGGUUGUGGUUGGUGGUGGUGGUUGGUUGUGGUUGGUGGUGGCGGCGUUGCCAAGCUUUCUAAUCUAAUCGCGCAAACAUUUUUUUUUUUUGCCAAACAAAGUGGUCGUCCGGGGUCUGUCCGUGAGCGUCCUUGACGUUUUGAUCUGCCGAUGCCUAGUUGUCACUGGCAGUCUGGAGGGUUGACCCCCGAGACCGGCCCCGUCUCUUCUGACCCCCCCUGCUCACUCACGCCCCCCCCCUCCGCUAAAUCCCUAACCUCUCUCUAACCCUAUCUCUCUGCCGCACUCCGCGAAGUUGACACUGAGUGGACACUGACCAAGCAGCCACCCCCUCCCCCCCCCCCGUUCCCGAGCGGCGGAAUAACCCAUUAAAGUAUUGGAGCUGUGUUUAUUUAUUAUUAUUAUAUACAGAAAGCGUCUCUCUGAGAUGGCUUCGGGAUUGUGCCCGCGUACGGCGUCCCACGUUGCCGCAUAGCAUUGCUAGGAGAUUCUUCUUCUAAUUCAUCAUCGUCUUCUUCUUCUUCUAAUUCUACUUCGGGAACUGAAUAUGGGUGCGUGGAGCGAACCGUCGGACAACGUGCCUCGCAACACGCGCUGCAAACCGAACACACAUCGAGAAGCUUACACAGCGGCAGGGAAACUCUUCGCUGUCAUUACGCAGUGUAUAGACCUCUCUGUACACACACGGUAUAUGCAACGGCAAGGAUCGCCCGUGUCAAGCCUUCAGUGAGUUUUGGGGCAAGCGCUUCGCGAGAAUCUACGAAGGUCUGAACGACAGACGAGAGGGUGGGCGGCCAGCACCACGCCAGAUCCACAUUUGUGUUUACACACUCAGCCUUGCUAUGUUUACACACACCGCCACAUCAGCUACUCGCGUGGGGCUGAGUCGAUCUAGGGGGAAGCCCAGCACCGGUUCAGGUAAUCGUCACCGGUGUUGGCCGUGAGCGGGCAUUUAACCCAGGUAGCCGGGUUUGCAGUGCAGCGCGUUAACCACUACGCUGCCGCUCUCCAUAUAUACUAUGCUGCGCGCACACACACGCACACGUGGGUAGCAGUGGUGCAGUGGUUAGCGUGCUGCGCGGUGGAAUCUGUAACCUAAGUUGGAUAGCUGGCCAUGGCGAGCUCACUAUCAGUGGCCAGUAAAGCUGCGUGGUGGGAAGGACAGCGCAGUACAGCAACAUCAGACUAAUAUUCUUAGGUUUUUUUCGGUAAAGUCACGUGGGUAAAAAUUUUAAAUUAAUAAAAGUAAAAUAAAACAAAAUAAAAAAUCACGACGUUUCAUGAAGCAACACAAGCCUCCGUCUUCAAGUGGAACCGUCACAGCCACGACAGCUGUAUCAAGUAAAUGAGAGAUCACAAGAAAUACCACCCCGUAUAUAUAAUGGUUGAGGGGGGAAGGGCCAGGAACGGCACACUUUUUAUUAAUAUGGUAAGGCUUCAGACUAAUGUUAAAAAGAAUCGAUUAAUCGAGUUUCCUGGCUGGCUGCUGUCUGGACACCUCUUCACCCCCAACGACGUCUCUCUGUUGUUUGUGUCUGCUGCUGGCCAUGGCCACCGAAACUAGCUGGGUAACUGUCUAAACGAGAUUUUCUUUGUAACAAAUAAACGUUGGACCCGAUUGAAACAUGGGCAGAAGACGUUCAGAAGAAGUUUAAUAAUCAUAAUAAUGAUUUGAGAUUUUUAGUUUAUUUUGGUGCUCUGAAUGUCCAAAUGAUGGGUCACUUUGUUGAGCUAUCAUUUGGCAGGUCGCUUCUGAAAGAUAAGUUACUACCUCGGUGGUAGGAUGGGGAUGGUUUAGUGUUGUGUUUGUUUGUGUUUGGGUGAUUUGUUUACCUUUCUUGUACUUUUCACUCCUGUUGUGUUUUUGUCCUGUUUGUUGUUGUGACGUUCUUACCCCGUGCCCUGCCUGGACAUCUGUAAAAAAGAGCUUCAUAGCUCAUCGGAUUCCUCCUGCAGUACAAAUACAUAUUCGGAUUCUGAGAUAGUAACACCGGGGGUAACGAAAACACGGAAGACUGACCACGGUUCGUUUCAAAUUUGCUCUAACUUUUCAACGUAUGCUAUUGUUUAUACAUUUUCACGAGAAUAUUCUUGAAAUCCUACAGGACAUAACAAAAAAAAACAUUUCACAAUACGUAUUAUCUUAGCAUGUUAUUACUUUUAAUUUCUCUGAAUUGUCUUACAUAUUCCGUUGCAGAACGACGAGUUCUCUGUCUGGAUAUUUUUUGUUCAUGAAAAUAUUUCAGGUGGAUAAUGCCUCGAGAUGGAACAUCUCGUUUCCCGACCCUCCGAUGAACACGGUUGGCCAAUGUACGGUGCGAAAGAAGCUCAACAUACAUAGUCACACCGGAGUGUCCUGGAUACGCAUUGUGUACCAUAACAUCAAUGCUACAAACCCCGAGUAUCCAGUAUGGUCAAGAAACCUCCCUCCCUUCUCCGCACAGUGUGUGGGGGAGAGAGGGCUUCAUCCAGCAGUGGAUUGUGCUUUACACUGCCCUUUCACCAUGUACACAUGCACACUGCGUGUGUACACGUUCAUUGUGUUACCACGGCUAUAGCUAACAUCAGCUGCAUUUUUAAAAAAUCCUGGGCUUCUUCUAGAUCGACUCAGCCUGAAGUGAGUACCGUGUGCAGUGUGUACUGUUGAAACGAUUGACUCGUUUACUGAUUCGAGCCACUCCAUCUUCUCGUGCGCCCUGCCGACCUUAAUAGCUAGUCCACUCGCUAACCAGCCUCUCGAAAACGGCAUUUGUACCGCGUAAUAUUCGUGACCAUUUUUUUUACAGCGGCACAUUCUUCGUAGCGGAGACGGACUCGUGCCUCGAAACGUCGAGUUAUUACGAGGGUGCUCCUCCAUAGGCGGUGCUAGUGAUGAGAGAGUUGCGUUUGAGUGUCAGUGCUGCGUCCGCUGCCCAACGCAGUUGAUGGGUUCUGCCGUGCGCGACAUGGGGUCGAGUUUGGCGAACGCGUGAGAAAACACGCGUUUAGAGUAUCUUGGCCUGCUAUGAAUGUCCAAAUUAUGAUGAAACCACUUCGCUGAGCAAUCAUUGGCCACGGGCAGGUGGCUGUGUAACUCGGCGGAGAAUUACGUGGUAAAAAAUAAAAUACAAAAAUAGUGAUGGUGUGGUUUUGUGUGUGUGUUUGUGUGUGUUGAUGGCAAGUUAACUGCUCAUGCCAUCGGCGAGAACGCGAGCCACGUGACCGUUUCUCGCGCGCGUGACAUCAAGGAGGCGCGCAUUGCCUCCGUCAUUAUCGCAGCGUUGAGAUUGGGACUUCAAAGUAAAUUAGUUUUUUGCGCGAGUUUUUAUUUUUAUAAUUUAAAUAAUAAUCUAUCCAUCUUUCACUUCACCCCCCCCCCCCCGACACCCCCCUUAGCUUGGAAGCCUUCUUUACGGUUCGCGCGCUCGUGUAAAAAAUAAAAAUCCCGUGUAAAUUAAAGACAAAGAUCCUCGUAUAGCCUUUACAGACUGUUGGGGCAAGUGCUGUUAGCGAAUUAGCACUUGAGAAUGCCUGGACGGCACGGGAGGGGGUGGGUGACCAGCACCACGCCCGGUGGUAGUGUAGCAAUGAGCGCGCCCGAUCAACCGAGUUCGAUUCCCGUUCACGGCAUCCUCUAGGUCGACUCAGCCUCACAUGAGUACCUCGUGCGAUAUAUCGUCACUAGGGAGACAAAGGCGGCCGGACAAAUUACACAACAUUUUAUAGACGACAGAGGAUGGCGGUAUCAUGAUCAUCGAUUAUCUAUCCACUGUUGGUUGAAGGCCUUCCAAAGUCGUUAUACCAUGUCGGGUCCACACCUGAGCGAUCGGUUGCAUGCAACUCAAUCGCUUUUACGUGCACUUCUCUGCAACGAGUUGCGCGCAGUUGCGCCAGCAAUGAGACUUUCGUUUCAUGCAUCGAUCCGCUCAGCGAUUUGCACCGACGACGCAUUUCAUCAUCGCCAGGUGCUGCACAUUUGCCAACUAUCGAUUGGUAGCAGGUGACACUUUAAGUUGCGCGAUUUCGAAGAGGGAUUUAGUUGCCCGGCUGAUCGCUGGGGUGUCUACCUGGCUCCGUAGUCCACCCGGCACUUCCACCUGUGCACAAUCGGUGGUCACGAAUUCACUGCCGCUCGCUCCGCUGUUUCUAUUGCUGCCGUGGGCAGCAACCUCGGCUCCUUCCCCCCCACACCACCACUCACUCACCGUUCCCCCUACCCCCUUAACCCCUCCCCUCGACUCCCCGUGUCCCCCCUUAGACCCCCUCCCCCCCCCCGGAGCGCAAAGGUCAAGCGGUCGUGGGAUCAGGUCAGGGCGCAUGAAGGCUGCGGCUCCCCCCGCGCGGCACGGAUCGUGCUCGCUCGCGAUGGUUGUCAGAGCUCGAUGAAGGCCUCCCCGUGCCGUGUCGGCCAUGGGUAUUGGUUUUGACCAUACUUCACCACGCUGGGCACGAAGAAGCCCUCAGCAAGCGGAAAGAAGCAUCGGACAUCACCGCCAUGUGCCUGGCAGCUUCUUCGGGAAGUGAAGAAAUGAAGGAGCUCCCGACACGCGGAGCGAAAACGUCGGACAACCCGCAAACAAUCGUAGAGAGCUCUGAAGCGGAACCGCGAGAGCCUACGCGAUGGUAUGCACGUAGUUUUUCUCCAGAGCGGAAGAAAGGUGUGGGACCAAACCACCUUGUGUCACCGGGCAAAUAUGAUCCCAUCUCACGUUUGGACGGAGCGGGGGCGCAGGGACUUGGGAUCGACGCGGUGACGUCAUACGUCAGAAUCGACGCGGUGACGUCAUACGUCAGUUUCAAACGACACACUGAAACGAUGUGUGCAGAAAGCACUCGGGGCCUCGGCGUGCAUUAUGACAAAAAAACAUCAACAGUUCCCGUAGAACUGCAUUGUCCAUUGACCUCUUACAUCCCGUUGGCCUGGAGGACCCGGGGGUGGAAUGAGACACUCGAUAUUUUCCGGAACUCUCCUAGGGCCGGCUUUGAUUAUCGGCGUAAGGCACUACCACUUAGAGUACAAGCUACGGCUAACCCACAAUAAUCCUAUAGUAUUGCACCGCACAUCCCUACAAUUCUGCGGAUAGGCUUCGGACAAUUCCAAGGCGAGAUGAAUGGGGCAUGCCAACACAACAGCGUCACACGGCUGUUUCCGGCUGAAAUAAAGCCUCGGGCCUGUAAGGCAGCACGUGGCUCAGGGCGACGCGGAGAGGGAGGCAUUGGGACACAUCGCAGGACGGAACAGGGGAGUUGUAACGCGUGCCGACAUCUCAAGUCACACGCCGCUGUCGCACACCUCGCGGAGCCGGGUUAGCGUCAGGGGUUUGCAGCCACAGCGUAACUAUUCCGAGGCCUGUCAAAGACUCUCCUACACCAGCACCCCCGCCCCCCGGCCAUGCGCGCAGAAAUUGUGUGGCAAAGUGUUUGCACGUGAUGCACGUGAGACACACGUGAUGCACGUGAGGAACGCGUGCGUCACGUGAUGCACACGUGAUGCACGUGAGGCACGCGUGCGUCACGUGAUGCACACGUGAUGCACGUGAGGCACACAUGCAUCACGCGUGCGUCACGUGAUGCACACGUGACGCACACGUGCGGCGGAGGCGGCGGCUACACACGCAGAACGGCGGGCACGUGGAAACGAACGAAGCCAUCGGUCCACUGCUGGUCAAUGCCGCCAUACGAACGAAGCACUGCGGCUGUGCAUCUAACUGAACAUCUGUGGGGUGAUGAAAAAAAAGAGCUUCAUAGCUCAUCGGAUACCUCCAGAACGAAUACAAAAAAAGAUUCUGAUGGAGAUAAAACAAUAAAUAUAUAUUUUUAUUCUGAUCAACCCGGCCGCAUGAGUUAUAUUGCUGAUCACGAGGGUUACUCACGAGUGACUUCGGAACGGGUCAUGGGGUCUCGACCCACCAGCAUCAACCCGUAAGGUCAAAUAAAAUGAUUAUUGGAACAGUGCGCUACUUUGAAUUGCAGCUUUUAGCUGUGUCACAGGUGAUCAUUUCUAUCUUGUAGCUGCGACACUUCGGAACGCGAUAUAUAUAUAUAUAUCAUUAUUAACACGGUAUUUUCCAGAAGUACAUAAUACACCGCAGAAUCGAAGCUUGGGGAGGCCUUCAUCCCGCAGUGACUGCUGCUGCUGCUGAUUAACACACUGAGCAUCUUUGCAGGUUGGGUUCAAUCCCAGGUGGUGGUGGAGUGGGAUGGGGGAAAGGGGCGCGGUGGGGUGACCAGGGCUUUGCAGGCUAUGGGAGAG